Molecule: microRNA, 22 nt
Filed under: Pristionchus pacificus
Lineage: Eukaryota; Metazoa; Nematoda; Chromadorea; Rhabditida; Neodiplogasteridae
Description: ppc-miR-8218b-3p
Source: miRBase by way of RNAcentral
CUCAGCCGUGAUGACCCUCAAG